RNAcentral lists this ribosomal RNA (314 nucleotides) under uncultured Nitrosospira sp. RNAcentral describes it as "bacterial SSU rRNA". It matches the Rfam family "Bacterial small subunit ribosomal RNA", at positions 338 to 644 of the family's 1533-position model. The record is from RNAcentral. Lineage: Bacteria; Pseudomonadati; Pseudomonadota; Betaproteobacteria; Nitrosomonadales; Nitrosomonadaceae.
CCUACGGGAGGCAGCAGUGGGGAAUUUUGGACAAUGGGGGCAACCCUGAUCCAGCCAUGCCGCGUGAGUGAAGAAGGCCUUCGGGUUGUAAAGCUCUUUCAGCCGGGAAGAAAAUGCAUGGGUUAAUACCCUGUGCAGAUGACGGUACCGGAAUAAGAAGCACCGGCUAACUACGUGCCAGCAGCCGCGGUAAUACGUAGGGUGCGAGCGUUAAUCGGAAUUACUGGGCGUAAAGCGUGCGCAGGCGGUUUUGUAAGACAGGCGUGAAAUCCCCGGGCUUAACCUGGGAACUGCGUUUGAAACUACAAGGCUAG